CUCAACAUUCCUCUUUGAUUGAAUAUCUAUUUUGCAUCUCAUUUUAAUCUUAAAUUAGAAAUUUAACUUUCUAAAGCGUCCUUCUCAUACCUAAAUGUUGAUUUUCAUUGCAUCCGUAAGAAAUUGAUUACCAUCGUCGAGUCGGGAGGUGUCGGUUUAAUAUUAAUGACCUCAAUCGAGUGGAUCGUCAAAGGAUCUUCACUCAGGCCUUGAAGUCUAUCUAUGGCCCAUACACUUGUAAGCAACGAACGAGAUCGAACGGAUUCGUACAAUGGUAAGUGUCUUAGAGAUCAACAAGAUUCAAUACGAGACCAAAAUCAUUGAUCUUGAAGAAAUCUGGGAGAAUGUUGUUGGAAUAAGGGGCAUUAUUAAACAAAUAUUUACAUGAUUCAAUAUAGUUUUGGAUAAUUUAAUUUUUUUUAUUUUUUAUUUUCAUGAUUUAAUAUUAUAGAACUUUAAAUAUUUAUAUUUUCUUAAUUGUGUUAAAAUGAUAUUGUAUUUUGUGAUUUAACAGUUUAUUUUAACUCAAACGUAUGUAAUGAGUAUGAGUUGUUGAAUUUGUAUUGGUGACAAUUACACUUUAAUAGUGAAGUUGUUGAUGAAGAUU
This 607-nucleotide long non-coding RNA is filed under the name Cicer arietinum (chickpea). RNAcentral's name for it is "long non-coding RNA (CARI_LNC003184)". Lineage: Eukaryota; Viridiplantae; Streptophyta; Magnoliopsida; Fabales; Fabaceae. The record is from RNAcentral.